This 470-nucleotide ribosomal RNA is filed under the name uncultured bacterium. RNAcentral describes it as "partial 16S ribosomal RNA". It matches the Rfam family "Bacterial small subunit ribosomal RNA", at positions 28 to 523 of the family's 1533-position model. The record is from RNAcentral.
GACGAACGCUGGCGGCGUGCCUAACACAUGCAAGUCGAGAGAGGAACUUCGGUUCCUAGCGGCGGACGGGUGAGUAACACGUGGGUAACCUGCCUCAUAGAGGGGGAUAGCCUCCCGAAAGGGAGAUUAAUACAGCAUAACAUGUUUUGAUUGCAUGAUCGAAACAUUAAAGGAGUAAUCCGCUAUGAGAUGGACCAGCGGCGCAUUAGCUAGUUGGAGAGGUAACGGCUCACCAAGGCGACGAUGCGUAGCCGACCUGAGAGGGUGAUCGGCCACAUUGGAACUUAGAUACGGUCCAGACUCCUACGGGAGGCGGCAGUGGGGAAUAUUGCACAAUGGGCGAAAGCCUGAUGCAGCAACGCCGCGUGAGUGAUGAAGGCCUUCGGGUUGUAAAGCUCUGUCUUUGGGGACGAUAAUGACGGUACCCAAGGAGGAAGCCACGGCUAACUACGUGCCAGCAGCCGCAGUAA